This 77-nucleotide transfer RNA is filed under the name Deltaproteobacteria bacterium. RNAcentral's name for it is "tRNA-Arg". It matches the Rfam family "tRNA". From Rfam's summary of the family: Transfer RNA (tRNA) molecules are approximately 80 nucleotides in length. The record is from RNAcentral. RNAcentral also lists the same sequence under 1 other name. Lineage: Bacteria; Pseudomonadati; Myxococcota; Myxococcia.
GCGCCCAUAGCUCAGCUGGAUAGAGCUCCCGAUUUCUAAUCUGGAGGCCGCAGGUUCGAGUCCUGCUGGGCGCGCCA